Homalodisca vitripennis (glassy-winged sharpshooter) is the source of this 776-nucleotide long non-coding RNA. RefSeq lists it as uncharacterized. The record is from RefSeq and is a predicted model, not a curated record. The transcript is spliced from 5 exons. NCBI's taxonomy places the organism in Eukaryota, Metazoa, Arthropoda, Insecta, Hemiptera, Cicadellidae.
CACGUUUCAAUCCCCUCACUAAUUCUUCAUAUUGGCGGCCAUGUUUUAUGAACUAUCAUAAAAUAACCAUUGUACAUAGACAUCAUGCAAAACCUCUGGCUUCACUUCAUCAGGCAAAUUGCUUUCUUUAAUUAUAAUUCAGGCCAAUACAAAGCUGAAUUUGUAAAUAUAUACUAAUUUACACAUAUCUUUUAACAGGAUAAAGUUCAAUGAAGAAGCAAACAUUGGCUUCGAUGCAGAAAAAAUGUUUACAUUCACUCCAAAAAGUGGAAUUUUGCCGAAAUUAGAAAAACAAGUACAAGUAAAGGUCUGCUGUCUAUGCCCACACCCUGUACACAUCAGCAGUGUGCCGGUGUUCAAGGUAUGGCUGGUGGAUACUGCUCCCCAGACACAGCCAGUUGCUGCAGUACCGCAUCAAUGUAACUAUAGACGCUUUCACCUCACAAUACAAAGUUAUUCCAGAAUCAGAAUUAAACUUUGGUCCAAUUCUGGUGGGAACAAAGAAAAUUGAAACGAUCAUUAUAGAGAACAUUGGAAAAUUUGAGUUUGUUUUUAGCGUCAAGACACUAGAGCAAGUGGAAAUGGAAACUCUAGAGCAAUGCCAAGGAAUCCAAGAUCAGAACAAGAGUGUUAAAAGUUCAAAAGGGAAGAGCACUAAAACUCAAGAAAGCACUAAGGGAAAGUCAGUGAAAAGUAAAGCAUCUAGUAAAAAAGUGGAGGAGUUCCCAAGCCUGACAGCCGGAAUAUUCUCUAUCUCCAACACAGGUGGUCGGGUG